CACAGCAAGUGCUCGAGAACCACCGAGCCGUUGUGGGAAGCGAGGCACCGAGGCACCGCCAUUAUUUUUAUUGCAACCCUCAGGCUUGGGGGCAGCCUCCCAGAGUCUCUUUGUCCAGCCCCAGGUCAGCUCUCCCUCCCUCCCUCAGCCUCCCAGGACUUCGGAGCUCCUCUCCCCACCCCAUGCCCCGCUGCUCUCACACCUGGCCAAGCGGGGACUUGCUUUCGAGGUCACCGAAGCGGCUCUGUGUCAGGUAGGCUGGGCCUUUUACACAACUGCUUUGAGUCUCUGAGCCUUUAUUUUUUUUUAAGCUUAUUUAUUUAUUUUUUUUCUCAACAUUUAUUUAUUUUUGGGACAGAGAGAGACAGAGCAUGAACGGGGGAGGGGCAGAGAGAGAGGGAGACACAGAAUCGGAAACAGGCUCCAGGCUCUGAGCCAUCAGCCCAGAGCCCGACGCGGGGCUCGAACUCACGGACCGCGAGAUCGUGACCUGGCUGAAGUCGGACGCUUAACCGACUGCGCCACCCAGGCGCCCCACAAUGUUUAUUUAUUUUUGAGAGACACAGAGACAGAAUGCGAGUGGGUUGGGACAGAGAGAGGGGGAGACGAAACUGAAACAGGCUCCAGGCUCUGAGCUGUCAGCACACAGCCCGAUGAGGGGCUCGAACUCACGAGCUGCGAGAUCAUGACCUGAGCUGAAGUCGGACGCUCAACCGACUGAGCCACCCAGGCGCCCCAAAGCUUAUUUAUUUUUGAGACAGAGAGAGAGAGAGAAGGGAGAGAGGCAGAGAGACGGGACAGAGGAUUUGAAGCAGGCUCUGCCCUGACAGCACAGAGCCUGACGCAGGGCUUGAACUCACAGACCAUGAGAUCAUGACCUGAGCCGAAGUCAGACGCUUAACCAACUGAGCCACCCAGGCGCCCCGAGUCUCUGAGCCUUUAGUUGUUGUGAUGCCCCAGCUUCUAGCACAGUGUCAGACACAUAAUAGGGGCUCAAUACAUAUUUGAAUGACUACGUCUUCGGGCUCCAUGAAUCUGCAGGUCUAUUGAACUCUGCUGGUAAAACUCUGGAUUGAUGUGUGUGGGUGACCGCGGCAUUUCUGAGCU
Molecule: long non-coding RNA, 1107 nt
Filed under: Felis catus (domestic cat)
Lineage: Eukaryota; Metazoa; Chordata; Mammalia; Carnivora; Felidae
Description: lncRNA (ENSFCAG00000052663.1)
Source: RNAcentral